This 340-nucleotide unclassified non-coding RNA is filed under the name soil metagenome. RNAcentral's name for it is "partial contains 5.8S ribosomal RNA, internal transcribed spacer 2, and large subunit ribosomal RNA". The stretch from base 1 to 120 matches the Rfam family "5.8S ribosomal RNA", at positions 35 to 154 of the family's 154-position model. The record is from RNAcentral.
GAUGAAGAACGUAGCGAAACGCGAUAGUUAAUGUGAAUUGCAGAAUUCAGUGAAUCAUCGAGUCUUUGAACGCACAUUGCGCCCAUUGGUAUUCCGUUGGGCAUGUCUGUUUGAGCGUCAUUACAACAGUUCAGCGUAAGCUGGUUAUGAGUUCUGUUUUUUUAAACAAAAAACAGGCUUUAAAAUGUAUGUUCUGCAGGUCGCUUUGCUAAACCCUAAACAUUAAAUACUGUUCUAGUGAAGCAUUUGCGACUCUGCCUGAAAAAAAACUUUUGUUAAAGUUUGACCUCAGAUCAGACAAGGAUACCCGCUGAACUUAAGCAUUUCAAUAAGCGGAGGA